UUUCGGUAAGGCCGGUUUCUCCCUCUCCCUCACGAGCCGAGGAUGACGGAAACUGGGUUUCCCUUCGCCGGCACUGUUCUUGCUCCACAGUCCAUCAAAUCACUCCAAACUUCUUCCAUUAGCUUCGUAUGGUCCUUGCGCACCCGUCUGUGGCAGCCUUACACGGCGGCGCAGCCUGAAUCAGCGGCGACGAGCUCGUUCCAAUUUGAGUUCGAUUUUAGUCAACGCCUGUUUUCUCCUAGCUCCGGCCACCAAAACUUCCGAUCUUUAGCUCCAUGAACUCACCUCAACCUGCUGAUCAUCAUACUAAAAUGAUUUCACCUGGAGUGACCGGUUUCAUGUUCGUCGGAGCUCGGUCGGUUUUCGAUCCGAAACCAAAAUCUUUCGAUCGGUAUAUCUCGAGCUGUAGUGCAUCGUUUUGAUUGAUUCUUGAUCCAAUGGGUUCGCCUUGAUGUUCUUAACAACUCUCUAGAAGGAAUCGAAGCCUAAAAUUGAAGUUUUUACGUCGAAAUCAUGGCUCACUGGUUUCUGCAUUUUCUCGCCGGUUUCUGGAAAUUUUCCGGCCACCGUCAUACUGUUCAAGGUGAUUGACGGUCUUCCUUGGUGAGCGGUUUUGAUGUGUUUUGUGAAAUUGAAGACGCAGCGGGAUUAGAGCGGGUAGUCCUGCAGGUCAGGAGGAUCAUGACGGAGAUCGUGCGGAUUAGAGUAUGGGUUUUAGUUUUACAGUUUUGUAAAUUGCGAGGUGAGUGAUGCUCAAUUGGAGCUUUACAAUUUUACUUUGUACAAGUGAGUUGUAUUAUUUAAAUUAAGUUUUUUUUUUUAGAUUUGUAAUUUGAGUGGUUGCGUUGUAGUUGUAUAUUCAUGUUUCGGAUUUGAAUUUAUUAUUCAAAAUUCGGGGCGUGACAAUUGGUCUCUCUCCGGUCACACUUGUAUCACACUUACCAGGU
This is a long non-coding RNA of Rosa chinensis, 947 nucleotides long. RefSeq lists it as uncharacterized. The record is from RefSeq and is a predicted model, not a curated record. NCBI's taxonomy places the organism in Eukaryota, Viridiplantae, Streptophyta, Magnoliopsida, Rosales, Rosaceae. The transcript is spliced from 3 exons.